Molecule: unclassified non-coding RNA, 1935 nt
Filed under: uncultured fungus
Lineage: Eukaryota; Fungi
Description: sequence contains 18S rRNA gene, ITS1, 5.8S rRNA gene, ITS2, 28S rRNA gene
Rfam family: Eukaryotic large subunit ribosomal RNA (bases 792-1935)
Source: RNAcentral
GGAAGGAUCAUUAACACGUUCCUGACCCUUUGUAUAAACCCAAUGUGAACCAAAAGCAGUGGGCACGCAAUUAAGGAUGGAGGAUCCCUUAAUUGCCCUCCUAUGUGACGCAGCAGCAAUCGUGUGUCGAGGGCUGCCGCAUUGAAAGGAAACUGCUUAAAUAUACUUGAGCCUAUUAAAAUUGCUAUUAGCAUUUUAUCAGUAAGUAAAUCUGAAACAUUUUGCGGGUAAUCCGUAGAUGGGGGAUUUACUGAAAAAUAUUAGUGCUUGAAUAGCAUGGGCUAGGUAUAUUUAAGUAACCUCCGCAAUUUUCCCAUUUCACACAUUUACUAGUUGUCUAAUCAAUUUCUGAUCAAUGGUGACGUUGAUCAUGAAACAAACAAAACUUACAACUUUUGGCAACGGAUAUCUUGGUUCUCGCAACGAUGAAGAACGCAGCGAAAUGCGAUACGUAAUGCGAAUUGCAGAAUUCAGUGAAUCAUCAAAUCUUUGAACGCAAAUUGCGCUCCCGGGUAAUCUGGGAGCAUGCCUCUUUGAGUAUCGUCAACAACAAAACUCUCCUUCUUAGGAGGACUUGGGUGUCUCAUACUGCAAAGUAUGUCACCUUAAAUGCUGUCCUAAAGGGAUUCCAGCUUGAGCUGCAACUGCUUGGUUGUGUAUUCCUCUAUUUGUGAUAAAUCUUAACUGAUUUGGAACUUAUGGAGGAAAGCGCGGCUUUGAGCGGAAACAGAUCACUGGCAUUUUCUUGGACCAAUCAAAGGAAUAUAAGAGAAUUGAAUUCUCUUAUUGUCUGAUCUCAAAUGAGGUAGGAGGACCCGCUGAAUUUAAGCAUAUAAAUAAGCGGAGGAAAAGAAACUAACAAGGAUUCCCCUAGUAACGGCGAGUGAAGCGGGAAGAGCUCAACUUGAAAAUCGGAGGCCUUUAUGGUCUUUGAAUUGUAGUCUAAAGAAGCAAUGUCCGCAGUGGCCCAGGUCUAAGUCCUUUGGAACAAGGUGUCAAAGAGGGUGAGAACCCCGUUUUGGGCUUGGAGUCUGCUGCGUUCGACGUGCUUUCAACGAGUCGGGUUGUUUGGGAUUGCAGCCCUAAUUGGGAGGUAAAUUUCUCCUAAAGCUAAAUAUUGGCGAGAGACCGAUAGCGAACAAGUACCGUGAGGGAAAGGUGAAAAGAACUUUGAAAAUAGAGUUAAAAAGUGCUUGAAAUUGCCAAAAGGGAAGCGAUGGAAGCCAACACUGCGUGUAUCCAUACUUUGCCUUUGUGAGCUUCAGGUUGACUGGCGCCGAGUUUAUCCCGGUGCUGGUUAGCUUGCAAGUUCGCAGAGGAGCCCUGUGGAUAUGUGCGAGUCAAAAUCAAUUCGACUGGCAAUAGAUGACUUGGGAGGAGGUACCAGGAAUGCAUGUACUUGUAUUUUUGGGUUAUACCUCUCGAGUAGCAUUGCUGGUUGGAUUGAGGCUUUGCUAAUGUAUGCUGUGUGGCGGUACUUGAGGUUCCCUGUUCUGGCCAAGGGUGAUGGAUAACAAAGUUAUGCUUUGCUUCUUGGCUGGGCACUGGUUCCGUAUAGUAGCCUGUACAUUAGUGAUUUUGACGCAAUGGUCUUUCAUCGACCCGUCUUGAAACACGGACCAAGGAGUCUAACAUAUAUGCGAGUAUUUGGGUGUAAAAACCCUGAUGCGUAAUGAAAGUAAAGGUCCUUCGGGACUGAGGUGGGAUUCCCUUAGUCUUCGGACGGGGAUGCACCAUCGACCGAUCGUCCGCUUGCGGAAGAUUUGAGUAAGAGCAUAUCUGUUGGGACCCGAAAGAUGGUGAACUAUGCCUGGACAGGGCGAAGCCAGGGGAAACCCUGGUGGAGGCUCGUAGCGAUACUGACGUGCAAAUCGUUCGUCUGAUCUGGGUAUAGGGGCGAAAGACUAAUCGAACCAUCUAGUAGCUGGUUCCCUC